UACGAAGGGGGCUAGCGUUGCUCGGAAUCACUGGGCGUAAAGCGCACGUGGGCGGAUCGUUAAGUCAGGGGUGAAAUCCUGGAGCUCAACUCCGGAACUGCCUUUGAUACUGGCGACCUUGAGUUCGGGAGAGGUGAGUGGAACUGCGAGUGUAGAGGUGAAAUUCGUAGAUAUUCGCAAGAACACCAGUGGCGAAGGCGGCUCACUGGCCCGAUACUGACGCUGAGGCACGAAAGCGUGGGGAGCAAACAGG
This 253-nucleotide ribosomal RNA is filed under the name uncultured bacterium. Its description in RNAcentral is "partial 16S ribosomal RNA". It matches the Rfam family "Bacterial small subunit ribosomal RNA", at positions 524 to 776 of the family's 1533-position model. The record is from RNAcentral.